UGAAUACAUAGCAUAUCAGAAGGCACACCCGGAGAACUGAAACAUCUUAGUACCCGGAGGAAGAGAAAGAAAAUUCGAUUCCCUUAGUAGCGGCGAGCGAAACGGGAAGAGCCCAAACCAACAAGCUUGCUUGUUGGGGUUGUAGGACACUCUAUACGGAGUUACAAAGGACGACAUUAGACGAAUCAUCUGGAAAGAUGAAUCAAAGAAGGUAAUAAUCCUGUAGUCGAAAAUGUUGUCUCUCUUGAGUGGAUCCUGAGUACGACGGAGCACGUGAAAUUCCGUCGGAAUCUGGGAGGACCAUCUCCUAAGGCUAAAUACUCUCUAGUGACCGAUAGUGAACCAGUACCGUGAGGGAAAGGUGAAAAGCACCCCGGAAGGGGAGUGAAAUAGAACCUGAAACCGUGUGCUUACAAGUAGUCAGAGCCCGUUAAUGGGUGAUGGCGUGCCUUUUGUAGAAUGAACCGGCGAGUUACGAUUUGAUGCAAGGUUAAGCAGUAAAUGUGGAGCCGUAGCGAAAGCGAGUCUGAAUAGGGCGUUUAGUAUUUGGUCGUAGACCCGAAACCAGGUGAUCUACCCUUGGUCAGGUUGAAGUUCAGGUAACACUGAAUGGAGGACCGAACCGACUUACGUUGAAAAGUGAGCGGAUGAACUGAGGGUAGCGGAGAAAUUCCAAUCGAACCUGGAGAUAGCUGGUUCUCUCCGAAAUAGCUUUAGGGCUAGCCUCAAGUGAUGAUUAUUGGAGGUAGAGCACUGUUUGGACGAGGGGCCCCUCUCGGGUUACCGAAUUCAGACAAACUCCGAAUGCCAAUUAAUUUAACUUGGGAGUCAGAACAUGGGUGAUAAGGUCCGUGUUCGAAAGGGAAACAGCCCAGACCACCAGCUAAGGUCCCAAAAUAUAUGUUAAGUGGAAAAGGAUGUGGCGUUGCCCAGACAACUAGGAUGUUGGCUUAGAAGCAGCCAUCAUUUAAAGAGUGCGUAAUAGCUCACUAGUCGAGUGACACUGCGCCGAAAAUGUACCGGGGCUAAACAUAUUACCGAAGCUGUGGAUUGUCCUUUGGACAAUGGUAGGAGAGCGUUCUAAGGGC
RNAcentral lists this ribosomal RNA (1088 nucleotides) under Escherichia coli. RNAcentral's name for it is "partial 23S ribosomal RNA". It matches the Rfam family "Bacterial large subunit ribosomal RNA", at positions 159 to 1248 of the family's 2925-position model. Lineage: Bacteria; Pseudomonadati; Pseudomonadota; Gammaproteobacteria; Enterobacterales; Enterobacteriaceae. The record is from RNAcentral.